AUACUCAUUUCUGCAGCAUGUGUACUAAAAUUGGAGUACAGAGAUUAGCAUGGUUCCCAUGCAAGGAUGACUCACAAAUUCAUGAAGUGUUCCAUAUUUUU
Small nuclear RNA from Heterocephalus glaber (naked mole-rat), 101 nucleotides. NCBI's taxonomy places the organism in Eukaryota, Metazoa, Chordata, Mammalia, Rodentia, Bathyergidae. The record is from Ensembl.